UUUGAUCAAGAGCGAGACCAUAUUCAGCUUUCCCCACUUGCAGGCAACAUGCAGCGGUGUAAUGUUGUGCUUCGCGGUAAAAUUUACAUCGGCACCUUUUUCGAUCAGCAGCUGAGCGACAUUGACAUUCCCAUAGUGGGCGGCUAUGUGCAACGGCGUGAAACCACUCUUGGAAGACACGUCCGGAUUGUGCUCGUUCUGAAAGCAAUGAAUGGGCCAUCAAUUACUAUCAUUAAACGCAACUGGGAGCAGCCAAUUAUAUCUGAUAGAUACAGCUUUGACGUCAUCCUUUUUGGCUGCUAUAUGGAGCGCCGGUAGUCGCACCUUACCGCGAGUAUCACUUUCCAGCAAAACGGCAACGACUUUGUCGUGACCUUGCUGCAUUGCUACGGCCAGAGGUGUGAAUCCGUCCUACAAUAAGGUCAGCCAGGGCCGGAUUCGCUCCUUUUGCCAGCAAUAAGUUCACGCAUUCGUCAUGGUUCUCCUGGGCCGCCAUGUAGAGCGGCGUGAAGCCAUUCUGCGAUUGUACAUUCACCGAGGCAUUGUAGUGCAGCAGCAGCUGGAUGAUGUCUUUCUGGCCCGCCAAUGAGGCUAUGUGAAGUGCCGUGUUACCUUUUUUCGUUGCAUUGUCCACGUUUGCCUCACGUUUCAGCAGCUCCUGAACAAUGUCGUAGUGCCCAUCCUUGGCGGCGAGGUGCAAGGCAUUGAGCCCGUUCUGCAGAGGAGAAGAGCAAAAAAUUAUUUUAACAACGUAAUACGAAAAACAUUUUACUACGAUGAUGAUUAAUUGACGUAACAUUUUGUAGAAAUAUGAAUGUUCCAUAACAUGAUAUUUGUUACAGAAGGCAGUAAAAAUUUCAUUUAAUAAAAAAUAAGAUACAAAACUGCGUACUAAACAAUUGUUGUACAAGUCUACAGUCAACUAUUUAGUUCAGUCUCAUAGUACUUAUUGCUAGAUUAAGAGAGAUCAUUUUUGUUUUGCUGUAAAAUCUCACUAAGACAAACUAGUUUCGUCUUGUUGCAAUGCACAUUACUUUUACCGCAUCUCGCGUUCUGAAGUUUGUUUUAAGGGAUUAUAUAGCUUUUUAGUUCCCAAAAAAUCGAAUUUUUUUUAUUGCAUUAUCUUGAAGUACAUCUUGAGAACAUUUUCACAAAUUUUUAUGAAGAUCUGAGCAAUAAGGAGAAAGCUAGAGCGAUUCGCAGCGCGCCUCGCCAAGGCCGCAUAAGCUAAACUUGAAACUUUACACGCGUUUAUCUCGGAAUGAUGUUUCUCAAAAAAUGACUUUGUCGUGAUCCUGAUUGCGGGAAAACUACUGAACCGAUUUCCUUCAUCUUUUUCUAUAACUUUCGUUAUUAAAUCGCCGGUCCUUGAACGAUCGCUUUUUUAAACAUACAGUUACAUUUUGCCGCAAAAAAAAUUUAAAUACAAUUUUUAGCUCAAAACGUGCAUUUUUUGGGAAAAAAAGUUCUCUUUUGCACUGGAAACAAAAUACUCAUAAGAGCGAUCGUUCAAGGACACGACACACUUUUAA
This is a long non-coding RNA of Wyeomyia smithii (pitcher-plant mosquito), 1532 nucleotides long. RefSeq lists it as uncharacterized. The transcript has 3 exons. NCBI's taxonomy places the organism in Eukaryota, Metazoa, Arthropoda, Insecta, Diptera, Culicidae. The record is from RefSeq and is a predicted model, not a curated record.